UACGGAGGAUGCAAGCGUUAUCCGGAAUGAUUGGGCGUAAAGGGUCCGCAGGUGGCACUGCAAGUCUGCUGUCAAAGAGCGAGGCUCAACCUUGUAAAGGCAGUGGAAACUGCAGAGCUAGAGUACGUUCGGGGCAGAAGGAAUUCCUGGUGUAGCGGUGAAAUGCGUAGAGAUCAGGAAGAACACCGGUGGCGAAAGCGCUCUGCUAGGCCGCAACUGACACUGAGGGACGAAAGCUAGGGGAGCGAAUGGG
Molecule: ribosomal RNA, 253 nt
Filed under: uncultured bacterium
Lineage: Bacteria
Description: partial 16S ribosomal RNA
Rfam family: Bacterial small subunit ribosomal RNA
Source: RNAcentral